GCGUACGGCUCAACGGCAGAGCGGACGGACCUUGUUCUGUGGGUGCGGGUUCGAAUCCCGCCGCACGCG
Molecule: transfer RNA, 69 nt
Filed under: Herbihabitans rhizosphaerae
Lineage: Bacteria; Bacillati; Actinomycetota; Actinomycetes; Pseudonocardiales; Pseudonocardiaceae
Rfam family: tRNA
About the family: Transfer RNA (tRNA) molecules are approximately 80 nucleotides in length. Their secondary structure includes four short double-helical elements and three loops (D, anti-codon, and T loops). Further hydrogen bonds mediate the characteristic L-shaped molecular structure. tRNAs have two regions of fundamental functional importance: the anti-codon, which is responsible for specific mRNA codon recognition, and the 3' end, to which the tRNAs corresponding amino acid is attached (by aminoacyl-tRNA synthetases). tRNAs cope with the degeneracy of the genetic code in two manners: having more than one tRNA (with a specific anti-codon) for a particular amino acid; and 'wobble' base-pairing, i.e. permitting non-standard base-pairing at the 3rd anti-codon position.
Source: Rfam by way of RNAcentral